UACUCCUCACACGCGCGCCCCUCCUCCGCCGACCCCAGCCCCCGCGCCCCUCCUCCGUCGCCCCGCGCUCGGCGCCGCCGCUCUCGCCCUGGACCCGCGCUCCUCCGGCCCGCCGACCCGCGCGCCCCUCCUUCUCCGGUCCGGCCCGCGCUCUUCUCUCUGCCGGCCAGCGCUCCGCCAGCUCGGCGCCGCGCCCUGGUCCGCGCUCCUCCAGCCCCUGCGCCACCGAGCCGCGCGCCCCUCCUUCUCCGUCGCCACCGCUUCGCCGCUGCUUCAUCGCCGCAACGACACGACCGGAGCAGAAAGCGGCAACGGUGGACGAUGCUCUUGCACACCCGCCUACGUAGGCGUCACCGCGUCAGGCCGUCAGCGCGGUGCCCCAAGGAGCGGCUCCCGCGGAGGCGACAUCCAGGCGGCCAGGCCCCAAGGUAGCGGCCGGGGGCGCUUCCCCAAGAAACAGAGCUGGCAUAUGCGCGGCACAGGCGGCGGCGGCGGCGGCGUUCGCUAGUCUCAAUUAGGUGGAUUCUCGAGGAGAAUCCCAGUGUGCAUUACUUCCAUUUUUUGGACAGCAGCUUGGAAGGGCGCUGGCAGCACAUGUGGAUGGUCCACGCCAUUGGCUGCCGGCAACAAGGCCAAGCAAGGUGGCCAACUCGACACACUCUAGCUUUACCUACAAGGAAUUGCAAGAACGACUGUCUUGCGAGCAAUGAAAAGUCAUCACACAACCACGUUUCCUGCAUUGCUUGCAAUGUGUUUGGUAAAAUCUGUAUACUCUAACUCGUCACCCAGUGCAUCGUUACGGUUUGGAGCUUUGUAACUUUUCUAAAGGUUACAUAAUUCCUUUUAUUUUAGUACGCUAAAAUCAAUCUAUCCAUCAUAUUUGUUUGCCAAACCUAAAUAUUCUGCCAUCAGAACAGGUGUGAGUACGGGCAUGUGCUUGUCCAUUUGAAGGUGAUAUUACCUCUUAUCUGUCAGCUCUGUUGUGGUGUCAGAAAGCAAAGAUUCAACAUACUAAGUGAUGUGUUCUUGAUUCUGAAAUUACAGUCUUACAUGCAAGUAGCUCUACACAUUUUGUUGAUCACUGAAGAAUCAUUCUACACAUUUCGUUACAGCAAUCUGUAGCUGCAGAUGAAGACAAGCGAUGAUGCUUGUGUGCUGACGCAGGCUGCACUUUCCUUUUUGUGGACAAAUUGGAGAUAUAAUCUUCAGAGAUGAAAAGUAGAUCAAGGCAUCAAGACCAUGAAGAAAGGAAAAAUAAGAAAAGGAAAAAAAAGGGGGGCAAAGCUUACAAUGUCAAUCCCGAAAGAGAGAUGUUCAGAGUCAUGCGGUGCUUACCCAACAGGAGGCUCUGGAAGCAUACUUGGUGGCUCUGUUCAAGGAAACAAAACUGUGCGUCAUCCACACCAACUGCCCAAGGGCAUUCAGAUGUCUAGGUGGAUCAACGUGAGAGGGCUUAGGUUCUCAGCUAUCCUAUCCUAGGAUAUUAAGGAUCCAAAUGAUGCUAUGAAAUUAAUCUGUAUAAAUGAUGUACUCUCUUGGUCAAAUCUUUAUUCUCUGGACUGUUUAGACUUUCACGUCCAUGGAUUCAGUAAUAUGACAUGAUUUGCUCUUGUACCGUACCCAAAACAAAUCCACUUUGUCAAUACCCUUUCAGAA
Molecule: long non-coding RNA, 1656 nt
Organism: Panicum virgatum (switchgrass)
Lineage: Eukaryota; Viridiplantae; Streptophyta; Magnoliopsida; Poales; Poaceae
Exons: 5
Source: RefSeq, a predicted model, not a curated record